Zingiber officinale is the source of this 848-nucleotide long non-coding RNA. RefSeq lists it as uncharacterized. The record is from RefSeq and is a predicted model, not a curated record. The transcript has 2 exons. Lineage: Eukaryota; Viridiplantae; Streptophyta; Magnoliopsida; Zingiberales; Zingiberaceae.
UUCAGUGGGGGUUUUAAAAAGCAGAAGCCGGUUCAGUGAAUAGGGAAUCUUUUGGGAUCACUGUGCGCGUUUCUUCCUCAUCCCCGACGCCCCAAACCUUUUUCCUUUUACGCGAUUUUCCCCAAUCCGGCGACGGCGGCGGCUCUGACAACUCUUGUGGUGACGACUUCAUCCUAGUGUCUCUUCCGGCGGAGUGGUUCAGCUCUAGCGCAACGAGGUUCCCUUCUUUCCUAUUCUAACUCGGCGACGGCGAUUUGAACUCAAAGCUAGGGUUUUCACUGGAGUGGUUUUGCUCCGGUGAUUUAUUUUCCUCUCCGGCCCUACUAUAGAAGAUCCUCUUGCGGACGUGGUUUGCAGAAGCAAGGAGUUUCCAACAGUGAGGAAGUCGGCUGUGCAGCUUCUUCUCCGGCGAGCUUUUAUCUUCUUCCAACACUGAAUGUUGCAGUGGAUCCCUGCGGACGUGGUUGCGAAGGUAGGAGACUCCACAAAUUCAGUGUGUGUAUCGAUUCUGGCAGAAGCAAGCUCAAGCCCUCUCUACUAUUCAACUUCGCGUGGUUCGUGUUGCUGGAAGCAGCAGAUAAGUGAGCGUGAGGACAACACAUUGGGUAGUCGUCCAUGAUCAGUUCAGCCAUUGGUGUCGCUGUUAACCGACUCUAGUGGUUCCAGGUCCGGGUUCUUCAUAUGAUGGCAGAGGGUAGUUGGUUGGAGUUGAUCACAGAAGAGUAGUUUGGCUAAUUUAGUUUACUUUCUUGUGUAAUUUAGGUAUUAUUUUCUUAUCAAUGAUAGAUUGUUUAAUAUUGUACUUUGUUUAGUUUCAUUUAUUUAUGUGGCAAAAGGUGAAAUCGUCA